AGAGUUUGAUCAUGGCUCAGGACUAACGCUGGCGGCGUGCCUAACACAUGCAAGUCGAACGAGGUAGCAAUACCUAGUGGCAGACGGGUGAGUAACACGUGGUCAACCUACCUCUAUGUGGGGGAUAACUAGCCGAAAGGUUAGCUAAUACCGCAUAUGAUCGCCGGGGGCAUCCCAGGCGAUGAAAGGAGCAAUUCGCA
Molecule: ribosomal RNA, 200 nt
Filed under: uncultured bacterium
Lineage: Bacteria
Description: partial 16S ribosomal RNA
Rfam family: Bacterial small subunit ribosomal RNA
Source: RNAcentral